This is a long non-coding RNA of Notolabrus celidotus (New Zealand spotty), 1757 nucleotides long. RefSeq lists it as uncharacterized. The transcript has 3 exons. NCBI's taxonomy places the organism in Eukaryota, Metazoa, Chordata, Actinopteri, Labriformes, Labridae. The record is from RefSeq and is a predicted model, not a curated record.
UACUUAUUUCUACGAGUACUGUUACUUCUACUUGAGUAACAUCAUUGUAAAGUAACUUUUACUUGAGGACUGUUUCGGUUGACUCUACCCACCUCUGGUCAUUUCUCAAGCAGCAGAUCACAGAUUGUUUGACGUCACGGACCUAGCUUGAUUGUUUCCAUGACUCACGUCGCUUCAGUCUCUGCCGUCCAAAGUAGUUAACUUACCAAGUCAAAGUUAGUUUAAACUUGAUUUUCUGUUUCUUUCUGAAGUUCUCAUUAAAAAUCACUUUAAAAGCCAUCUUCUGUUGUUGAACGGCAGACUAACGAGGCCGUUAGCAUUCUGCUAAUCAACGGUCGGCAGGUUUCAAACGGACCGGUCCAUGGAGCGGGUCAGCUUCAGCCCGUUAGCCUCCAAAGCAACGUAAAACCAUUACAACAUCAUCAAAACAAUACCAACUCUGUGAGGCAGGUGGAGUGGCACCGACCGUCCUUUACCCCCCCUCUCCUCUUCAGAUGGAUCCGUCCAUGAAGGGUCAGAGGUCAAGGGUGAAAUAAUAAAGUGAUAUCAGAACAGAGUGAGCAGAGAUGAAUGAAAACACAAUUAAACUGGAUCAUAAAGGACCAGAGGAAAGGGACUGCAAACGGACUACAGAGAGGUGUGAAUCUUCCGAUUUGUAUCACCAACAGGAAGACAUGUGGACCUGGAGCCAGAAGACUGAUGCAUUUAAUCAUCUCUUCAUGAACCUCUUCAUUGGACAGAGUCGUGUCAAACAGACCAGGAGUGUCAACCACAGUGACAGGACGACCGUUCACUUCACCAUGUUCCUUCUGACAGAAUUUAGUGACUGAUGUUUGACUGGAUUUAGCUGGGAAUUCCUUUCUUCCUAGAAUGGUGUUUCCUGAAGAACUCUUCCCAGAGCCGGUCUUCCCGAUCAUCACAAUCCUGAGAUGCUCUGAGCUCUGCUUCUCAUCAUCACCUGUGAAAUAAGAAGGGCUGGAGUGAAAGCUGUGUUGCAUUAUCUUAAACAGGCUGUUUAUCAGACAAAAUAAAUCAAUUAUGUCACAUUUACAAAUUAAAACUUAGUUGUACUUACGCGUAACCAGGCCUUCAAGCUUAGCAUGUAGUCUGCUGAUCUUUUCCAUUUGAGCAUGUGCAUAUGUUUCUGUUGUGUAGCUACUUGGUUUGUCUUCAUCUUUUUGCAUCUUUUCCACCGUGUCCAACAGCUCUGGGAUCUGCUGCUGGUCCUUGAUGUUGAGAACAACAUGUCUUCCUCCACAGCUCUGAAUGAACUCCUGAAUGUCAUUGCUUUUCAUGACGAAGUCAACAACAGCCGGAGCUGAAGGAUCUGACUGCACAGAGAACAGAAUCAUGGGGAAGUCAUUGACUCGAGAGCUGAAGGUGUCCUUGAUCAUCUUUAACUCUCCCUUGUCUUCAUCAGUGAGAGGACCCACAGGUAGGACCAGGAUGAAGGCAUGGACACCUUCAGGAUCACAGAGGGAGACACACCUGAGUGAUUCCUUCAUCACUGUCUCCAGAGGUUCUCCACUCAGAGCAGGAAGCUCCACCAGGGAAACCCGACGUCCACACACCUCUCCCUGAUGUUUAACACACUCUGAUGAGCUGGAGGCUGAAUGAAGACCUGUCUGACCUAAAAUGGCCUUUGCUGCUGAAGUCUUCCCUGCUCCUCUCCUCCCACACAGGACCAGGUUUAAAGCUGGUUUCAUGUGUUCAGACUUCAGAGUGAUCAACUCUUCAGUGAGGGUGAGGAAGUCUCC